GAUGAACGCUGGCGGCGUGCCUAAUACAUGCAAGUCGAGCGAACAGACGAGAGUGCUUGCACUCUCUGACGUUAGCGGCGGACGGGUGAGUAACACGUGGGUAACCUACCUAUAAGACUGGGAUAACUUCGGGAAACCGGAGCUAAUACCGGAUAAUAUUUAGCUUCGCAUGAAGCAAUAGUGAAAGACGGUUCUGCUGUCACUUAUAGAUGGACCCGCGGUGUAUUAGCUAGUUGGUGAGGUAACGGCUCACCAAGGCAACGAUACAUAGCCGACCUGAGAGGGUGAUCGGCCACACUGGGACUGAGACACGGCCCAGACUCCUACGGGAGGCAGCAGUAGGGAAUCUUCCGCAAUGGACGAAAGUCUGACGGAGCAAGGCCGCGUGAGUGAAGAAGGUUUUCGGAUCGUAAAACUCUGUUGUAAGGGAAGAACAAGUACGUUAGUAACUGAACGUACCUUGACGGUACCUUACCAGAAAGCCACGGCUAACUACGUG
Molecule: ribosomal RNA, 499 nt
Filed under: uncultured bacterium
Lineage: Bacteria
Description: partial 16S ribosomal RNA
Rfam family: Bacterial small subunit ribosomal RNA
Source: RNAcentral